AUGAACGCUGGCGGCGUGCCUAAUACAUGCAAGUCGAGCGAACGGACGAGAAGCUUGCUUCUCUGAUGUUAGCGGCGGACGGGUGAGUAACACGUGGAUAACCUACCUAUAAGACUGGGAUAACUUCGGGAAACCGGAGCUAAUACCGGAUAAUAUUUUGAACCGCAUGGUUCAAAAGUGAAAGACGGUCUUGCUGUCACUUAUAGAUGGAUCCGCGCUGCAUUAGCUAGUUGGUAAGGUAACGGCUUACCAAGGCAACGAUGCAUAGCCGACCUGAGAGGGUGAUCGGCCACACUGGAACUGAGACACGGUCCAGACUCCUACGGGAGGCAGCAGUAGGGAAUCUUCCGCAAUGGGCGAAAGCCUGACGGAGCAACGCCGCGUGAGUGAUGAAGGUCUUCGGAUCGUAAAACGCUGUUAUUAGGGAAGAACAUAUGUGUAAGUAACUGUGCACAUCUUGACGGUACCUAAUCAGAAAGCCACGGCUAACUACGU
RNAcentral lists this ribosomal RNA (495 nucleotides) under uncultured bacterium. RNAcentral's name for it is "partial 16S ribosomal RNA". It matches the Rfam family "Bacterial small subunit ribosomal RNA", at positions 29 to 506 of the family's 1533-position model. The record is from RNAcentral.